UAACAAGGUAGCCGUAUCGGAAGGUGCGGCUGGAUCACCUCCUUUCUA
This 48-nucleotide ribosomal RNA is filed under the name Bacillus mycoides FSL H7-687. Its description in RNAcentral is "partial 16S ribosomal RNA". Lineage: Bacteria; Bacillati; Bacillota; Bacilli; Caryophanales; Bacillaceae. The record is from RNAcentral.